GCUGUGGUAGUUCAGUGGCAGAGUUCUCGCCUUCCAUGCAGGAGACCCAGGUUCAACUCCCGGCCAGUGCA
RNAcentral lists this transfer RNA (71 nucleotides) under Loxodonta africana (African savanna elephant). It matches the Rfam family "tRNA". Rfam says of the family: Transfer RNA (tRNA) molecules are approximately 80 nucleotides in length. Their secondary structure includes four short double-helical elements and three loops (D, anti-codon, and T loops). Further hydrogen bonds mediate the characteristic L-shaped molecular structure. tRNAs have two regions of fundamental functional importance: the anti-codon, which is responsible for specific mRNA codon recognition, and the 3' end, to which the tRNAs corresponding amino acid is attached (by aminoacyl-tRNA synthetases). tRNAs cope with the degeneracy of the genetic code in two manners: having more than one tRNA (with a specific anti-codon) for a particular amino acid; and 'wobble' base-pairing, i.e. permitting non-standard base-pairing at the 3rd anti-codon position. Lineage: Eukaryota; Metazoa; Chordata; Mammalia; Proboscidea; Elephantidae. The record is from Rfam by way of RNAcentral.